This 497-nucleotide ribosomal RNA is filed under the name uncultured bacterium. RNAcentral describes it as "partial 16S ribosomal RNA". It matches the Rfam family "Bacterial small subunit ribosomal RNA", at positions 28 to 507 of the family's 1533-position model. The record is from RNAcentral.
GAUGAACGCUGGCGGCGUGCCUAAUACAUGCAAGUCGAGCGAACAGACGAGGAGCUUGCUCCUCUGACGUUAGCGGCGGACGGGUGAGUAACACGUGGAUAACCUACCUAUAAGACUGGGAUAACUUCGGGAAACCGGAGCUAAUACCGGAUAAUAUAUUGAACCGCAUGGUUCAAUAGUGAAAGUCGGUUUUGCUGUCACUUAUAGAUGGAUCCGCGCCGCAUUAGCUAGUUGGUAAGGUAACGGCUUACCAAGGCAACGAUGCGUAGCCGACCGGAGAGGGGGAUCGGCCACACUGGAACUGAGACACGGUCCAGACUCCUACGGGAGGCAGCAGUAGAGAAUCUUCCGCAAUGGGCGAAAGCCUGACGGAGCAACGCCGCGUGAGUGAUGAAGGUCUUCGGAUCGUAAAACUCUGUUAUUAGGGAAGAACAAAUGUGUAAGUAACUAUGCACGUCUUGACGGUACCGAAUCAGAAAGCCACGGCUAACUACGUG